Molecule: ribosomal RNA, 497 nt
Filed under: uncultured bacterium
Lineage: Bacteria
Description: partial 16S ribosomal RNA
Rfam family: Bacterial small subunit ribosomal RNA
Source: RNAcentral
GAUGAACGCUGGCGGCGUGCCUAAUACAUGCAAGUCGAGCGAACAGACGAGGAGCUUGCUCCUCUGACGUUAGCGGCGGACGGGUGAGUAACACGUGGAUAACCUACCUAUAAGACUGGGAUAACUUCGGGAAACCGGAGCUAAUACCGGAUAAUAUAUUGAACCGCAUGGUUCAAUAGUGAAAGACGGUUUUGCUGUCACUUAUAGAUGGAUCCGCGCCGCAUUAGCUAGUUGGUAAGGUAACGGCUUACCAAGGCAACGAUGCGUAGCCGACCUGAGAGGGUGAUCGGCCACACUGGAACUGAGACACGGUCCAGACUCCUACGGGAGGCAGCAGUAGGGAAUCUUCCGCAAUGGGCGAAAGCCUGACGGAGCAACGCCGCGUGAGUGAUGAAGGUCUUCGGAUCGUAAAACUCUGUUAUUAGGGAAGAGCAAAUGUGUAAGUAACUAUGCACGUCUUGACGGUACCUAAUCAGAAGGCCACGGCUAACUACGUG